GACUCCACCAACUCCCCUCUACUACUGCUACUCUCCGAUAUUCUCACCCUAGGCUUGCCCUAGGGAGAACUCAAGUUCAACACAACUGGUCCUCAGCUGCUGUAGGUCUCCUCAUAAUGCCAGUUAGCCACCACCUAAACACCACCACCUGUGAUGAGGAUUAGAUCAUCCUUCAAGUAAAAGGCCCGUCCCUACAACGGUUGGACUCAAACAAGAGCUGCGCAAUAGGGCCAGUUCCAACACUUUGGGAUUAUUCAACCCCGAUUACAUGUGGUGUGACGUGUUUACCUAGUGGCUCACUCCCAUUACUCAGAAUCCCACCGAGCACGAAGCAAGCAGCAUUCGGAUAAGGAAAAACAGACUCAAGCCAAAACUGUUCUUAGAACAAGAAACGACACUUAACAUAGGAUGCUAAGCUCAUACUAUCAGGCAUAACCUAAACAGGCUACCCUACUGCUGUCUACUCAAUUCUAGCAUGCAAUAUUCAAUAAGCUGUAACAAAUAAACAGGCACAUAAGGCAUCACUCCUAGAUCCUUAGCCUAUUCUAGCAUGCAAUAUUCAUAAAGCUGAUAAACAUAACAUAAACUUGUAUGGGUACUAUGGGGAAUACUUACUUGAGCUCGGCCGGUCGCGCACGUCACACACUUUACUCUUUCUCGUGACUCUUUUCCGGGUUUUAAAGAAUAAUUUCUUUUGGAAAAAUCUUUCAAUCCCUCGGUUUGAGUCCAAACACUCCCGAAGGCGUGUCCGAAUCCCUCAAACCAGGGCUCUGAUACCAACUUGUAACGACCCAAAUUUUUUUUUUUUUUUGAUAUUACUUUAGAAAACAUUAAUAAAUAAAAACAUUGUCUAAAUAAAAAGAAACAUUGUUUGUUCACACCAUAACACAUUGCAACCAUGUUCUCAAAAGCCAAACCGUACAUCCCAUCAAAUAUCAGAGUACAAUCCCAGUAAAUCUCAUAAAUGCGGAAACCGAAGAGUGUGUGUAUGACGUGCCGCUACCGCGCCGGCUCCUUCCCCUUCGAUGCAGAGGUACCUGAAAACAAAACUGUAAACGUAAGCACAAAGCUUAGUGAGUUCCCCCAACGUACCGCAUACCAUACAAACACAUAACAUAUAUACUGCCAGGCUAUUCUGGGGUGCCUGACUACCCGGUACGGCCAUUCUGGGGUGCCGACCUACCCAUACGGCCAUUCUGGGGUGCCGUCUUACCCGUGUCAAGCCAUUCUGGGGUGCUGACUACCCAUCGGUCCUAACAACCGAUCCUCGGGGACUAUUUCACCCCUACUACUACGAUCACAUAUAACAUAACAAGCCAGCAUGCAUACAUAUCGUCACAUACUGUCAGACGUAUCUGGGGUGUCUGACUACCCUUCGGUCCGAACAACCAAACUCUACUACUAUCACAUACAGCAUAUCAUGCUAGCAUAUAACAUGUCAGGUACUAGCGAACUUAGAUGAUAUCACAAAGACAAUCAUCUAUCAUACAACUCCUACUGGUGGGUCGGCAUUGUGGCCUUAGACCCACCGCUACUGGAAGGUAACUCACCUCAAAGUAGCUGCUGAACUGAUCGGGAACUAACUGACUGCUGCUGCUCCGGGAGUCCUCCGGCUGCAAUUUCCACGACAUACUCAAUCAAACACUGCUAACUGUCCUUUAGGUAAAAUGACCAUUUUACCCCUGGAUUAACUCUAAGCCAAAGCUGGAGUCAACUUUCAGUUGACCCGACUCGCCGAGUGGAUCACCACUCGCCGAGUCCCUAGCAAACCAAUGUCCUGGGUCCCUGGUUCUACUCGUCGAGUCGGGCUAUGACUCGACGAGUUCACCUUCUAACUGCCAUUCAACACCUUCAUCCUACUCGCCGAGUUGUAUGAACAACUCGUCGAGUUCAUCUUCAUCCGAUGAACACUUUAUGCUAAGACUCGCCGAGUUGUAUGAACAACUCGCCGAGUCUGUUCUUGAGCUAUGAAGAUUGCCUUGGACUCGCCGAGUCAGGGCAUUGACUCGCCGAGUCCUAACAUGGGUGAGUUCAGCUCCCAACUCACCGAGUCACCCCCUGUGACUCAAGGCUCAACUCGACACAUGAAGAAGGGACCAAUUCGGUGACUCGCGACCAGACUCGCCGAGUCACCUAUGCGACUCGCCGAGUCGUCGCCAUGCACUCCUUAAAUAUACCGAUUUGCUCGGUUCCAGACCAUGCCAUUCAUAGAUCUGGACUUCUAGGACACGAAUCACACGUAAAGUUUCCAACUUUACGUGUGGAUAUUCACCAAUAUGGAUUAUAAGGCUCAAAAUGUCUCAAAAUGGUAGAUCUAGGGCUAACAAGCCUCAUGGGGCCAAAAAGCUAACAGAUCUGAGCUCCUGGAGCUCAAUCUUGCAUAGAUCCAAAGGCCAAACGCCUUAUUACGACAUAUAAUGCACAUACAAACUUGGGGAAUUGACCAAGAAAGACCCAAGUGAAGUUUUAAGCAUAGAAUCAAGGGGAAAACGGGUUAUACCUCAAAGGAAAUGUUGAAAUGACACAAGGAUGGCUGAUCUCCUUCUCCUCUUCUUGAUCUACUCCUCUUACUCCUCAAAACCUUCAAGAACACACCAAGAACACCUUAAACUCUCAAGGAAACAAGGGAAAACGAUGUAGGGGGAGUUCUGGGGGUGAAUGGGGACGAGUUGGGGCGGAAUGAGAGUUUAAAUAGGGUGCAAACCCUUGAAACUUAGGGUUUCAUCCCGCAGCGGUGACUCGCCGAGUCCAGGAUAUGGACUCGUCGAGUCGCCUACUUAAAACGCGUCCUGAGUCUCGUCCCUACUCGGCGAGUCGGACCCUAUGACUCGCCGAGUCUGAGGCUAAAUUAGGGCAAUGCUCAAAUAAAAUUCACAUACCGGAAACCGGGUGCUACAAUUUACAUAUGUAAAUGUAGUUUAUUUACAUAUGAUACCUAAUGAUAUUUUUCACUAAGGUGUAGAGAAAAUAAUUAAGGAACUAUAUACUUUGGUGUAUAACUUCCUUUAUAAUGAAUGUCUGAGAUUAAGCACAAGAUACCAAAUCGACUUUAUUGACAACUAUAGUAGUUUUAAUUAUAUUUUACAUGGUAAAAAUCUUUGUUGAAGGUUUCAAAAGUUGAGAUACAAACCAGUAAGAACCAUCUAAGGCUUUAAUGAUAAUAAAGGAUGAAUUAAAUCUUACUUGGUAUGAUUAACUUUCUUAUCGAUAGAAAUAUCCUCCUUUAAUCUCUUUGGAAUAAUAAUUCAAUCACUAUUAAUUGUAUCUUGAAUAAAAAUACCAACUAAUAAGUAUAUUAAACACUUUAUAUGAUUUAGAAUGGAAGGGAUCCAUCCUCAUCUUACUUAAUGUUUUAUGGAUUUGAAGCCGAUGUUGGACUAAAGCUUCAAAACCCAAACUCUACUAAAUACAUAUUUGUAUAACACUCUAAAUGUGGCUUAGAUUGUUAUAUGCUAACCCACCAAGAAUACGUUCUUUUAUUCUUGUGAAAUUUAAGUUAGCAGAAAGUAAGCUUCUAAUGACAAAGCAAGUGGAGAGGUACAUGGAACUUGAAGUAGCUCAAGAACCAUAAUUUUAUGUAUUAACUAGUUAACACUAGUUUUAACAAGGAUUGUUAAAAUUGAAUAAUAGAUAUUCACAAACAUAAAUUGUUCGCAUUAAUGGUAGAAAUCAUCUAUGACUUGAGAAAUGUGGAAUUUCACAUUCAUGAGAUUUUAUUGAUGGUUUCUGGAAAAUCCACCAAAUACAAGGAUGCUAUGUCAGAUAUCAAAUCUGAUAAAUGACUUAGAGUCAUGAACAUGAGAUAUAAUCCAUGUAUGAGAAUCAAGUAUGGGCUUGAUUAAAAUUUAUCUCUAUAGCAAGGCUAGAAGGAGUAAAUGAUUCUUCUAGAAUGAAUAAAUUACAUCAAUAAUCAUACACAUUUAGAGCAAGACUUGACAUAAAAGGAUUUUCUCAUACUCAUGUCAUUGAAAAUGGUCCUCAUCAUACACAUGACAUUAACUAUGAUCAAACUUUAUAACAAGUAGUUAUUGUUAGAUCAACUAGGAUAUUAUUUACUAUAAAUUCAUAAUCUUAAUAUGAGAUAUACUAAAUAGAUUUCAAGAAAGACCGUUUUUCUUAAUAGACUGCUACUAGACGAUAUCUAUAUAGAUUAGCUUGGAGGUUUUCUUAAUCCAUGUUAUCCUAACCAAAUGUGUACAGAUUGAGAUCCACUUGUGGAUAUAAAGCAAACUUCUCAAUUUUAUAAUCAUCAUUUUAUGUAAAACCACAAGGUAUGUUUUUACAUCAAAAAGAAUAGAACAUGUGUGUUUACUAAGAACUAGUGGGAGUAUAGUGAAAUUCCUAAUCUUGUAUGAAUAAGACAUGCUUAAUCAUUUGAAAUCACAUUCUGACUAAGCAAGGUCGUUUUCACCUUGACUCGGAAAGUGUUUCUAAAAUGAAAGACUUAGGAAGGAGAAGAUACUUUCUUGGAAUGUAAAAUAUAUAAGGGAUAGAGAAAAUGAAUGCUAAAAGUUUCAUGUCCUUAUACAUAUCUUGGCAAUGUCCUAAAAGGGAUCAAAACACAAGAUUCUUUUGGAGAAUUAUUGGCAUUGUCAUAUGGCACCAUUUUGAGCUAGCCUCAAAAGUACAUAGCUCAUAGGCUUCAAAUAGAUGAAAUGAUUUAUAUUCCAUUUGCUUGACAAAUGAAUUCAUCAUUUAUGCCAUAUUAUGCAUAGGACAUGAUAUUUGAUCAUGUUGUAAGCAUGCCAUAGAAUACUAAUUGAAUACAUGGUUAAAUCAUUAGAUAACUAAAAGAGCAUUCUAAGAGUACUUUAGAAGAACUAAGAGAGUGUAUAUGAGACAAUCAGCUUAGAAAGGAUCUUUAUGGAAAGAGAUACACACGAUGUUAAUUUCUAAACAGAUAUAAGUAAUUAUGAAUUGUAAUUGGAUUUUGACUUCAUUAUGGAACGAAGAGUAAGUCUUGUUGGAAUGAGGUUCAAGCAAAACAUAAUGACAAAAUCUACUACAAAAUAAGAAUACACUACUUUAGAAGUUGAAUUUAAAUAUGAUUAGAUGAAUGGGGUCAUUAAAAAAACUAUGUUGAUUUCUGCCAUUCAAGGAUCACAUAGAAAUCUUUUUGACUUCGAGAGUAUACUUAAUCAAGCUAAGAUACUCUAUGUCAUGAAAGAACACCAAUCAUAUUCUUAAGAUAUUUAACUACACUUAGAGUAAAGUUAAGUAUGGAGUAUUCACAUAAUUCACACAUAUUAAAUUUUGUGAAAUACAUUAAUAAGGUCAUUGUUUGAGGUAAGUAUGAAUGGUUAAACUUCAGCUAUAAGACUUUAUUAUUCUAGAAAUGGAUUUUUAUUUGGAUUUAGUAUUUGGAUAUUGGAACAUUAUAACAACAACUAUUAGAUAAUGUUAUGAUAUAUUGGGAUAUAUUCAUCACAUUAAUACUUGUUGUGUUCUAUAUUAACAUGUUUAAUCCAUGAAGAAUGUUAUUAUUCUAAAGGUUCAUAGUUGGUUAUAAUUAUGGGAGCAAUUAUAAAUUAAGACUAAUAUGAACUGGAUUGGUUGACUCUCACUAGAUGAAAGGAGGCAAGUGGUUGUAACCAAGUUUCAUAUGUACUUGUUAGAGAACUAGUACUGAACUGACCCACAUCAAGAUCAUCUCAUGGAUCACUAUUAUGAAUGAUAAUUGAUUAAAAGGUACUAUCUUUCUAUCCUUAAAACCUGAGAUACAUAGUGGGACUUAAGUGUAAGGAGUACUAUGCUUUGAUAUGGUCAAAUGUUGUUCCUUAAUCGGGCAGUUAUAAAAGUCAUUUUUAGGUAUGGUGUGAACUAUACAAGAGGCUUAUGUAGUCAAGAUGGGAUUUGUUCCUCUUAUGUGUUGAGAGUUAGGCAUCUAAGGCGCCGUACCAAAAUUUGAACACCUAAUGAGAUUGAUCGCGAUCCAAAUCUCAUGUUCAACAUGAUGUGUGUAGCAAAGGGAUAACUGAUAAACUUACCUUAUACACCAAUUGUAGCUUUGAGCUUUUUUGGGAAUUAGGUGUUGAUAGAAUGGCACAAAGUCGUAUGUUGUUGGGGGCAGUGAAAUGUUGCUAGACAUUCACCACUGUGUAUAUCAAUCUAAUAUCAAUCUUGCGCAAGUGGGAGAUUUAAAGAUCUAGUAUGCUCAAGAAUCAUAUUAAAGUGAUAUUGCUAAUUAACAUAUGAUACUAAUGGGUCACACUAACAACAACUUGAUAUAAUUGAUUAUUUAUUAGAAAUUGAUUUUAAUAAAUAUUCAAUAAAGCUCUUAUAAUUCAAUUGAAAAUUAUUUAUUUCAUGGAAAUAAUAAUUUUCAUUAGCAAGUAAUAUAACAUAUUAUUUCAUAAUGUAUGAAUUAAUAAGUCAUGUACAACAUUUUGGACUAGGUAAGCUUUUUGUCUUUUAGCAAAAGACAAAGUUUAUAUCUUAUAAACUUUGAGUUUAUAAAAUAUAAACUUCCUUUUCUCUUUUUAUCCAUGAUGGCUGAAAUUAAGAGUGUCAUAAGGGGACAUGGCUUUCUAAUUUGUUUAAUCAAAAGUAAUAAGAAGCAUGAGAGACAUGUAAGCUUUAGGGACAUGCUUGUCUAAAGUGGAAGGACCUAAUGGUUAAAGACUUCACUUUAAGACAAUAUAAAUAUGAUGCUUCCACUCUUGAAUUGUUGUUUCAUUCUUGCUUCCCAAAACCAUAACCUCCUUAAAGGAGGUUACUCUCUCUCUCUCUCUCUCUCUCUCUCUCUCUCUCUCUCUUCUUCAUCUAUUCUUGAAGAUUACUUGCAUUUUCAUGCCCUCUUUAAGUUCAUAUUGGUUAUGAACUUUAAGCUUAAGGGAUUAAGAGUUUAUGGACUAGCAUUUACAUCAAGUUGAGUCAUUGUUGGUGUUUCAAAGGUUCCACAUUCUUCAUCAACUUCCAAGCCUCCUAAGAGGACCCAAAGAACAACAAAGGUUUUUAUUUCUUUAUCCUUUCUAUGGUUGGUGUUUAAUCUUUCAAUAACUUGCAAGAAGAUCCUUGGUGGGUAUAAAUUUUUUAUGUUAUGUUCAAAAUUUUAAGUAUUCCGUUGCCAUAUUUGUCUAGUUUAUGAAACUAUUUUUGAACUAAAACCCAACAAUCCCAACUCAAAAAAUUUCUCUAUUAUGGAAGGUUGCAUUAAGUUUGCAGCAAAACUUUUAACAAAAUGAAAUCGAAACGUCUGAAAGAUAGUAAUGGAAGAUAAUUCAUAUGGUUUAUCUUCAUCCGACAAUGAACCUACUGAUACUAAUUUGUUAAUUGUAUUAUUACGUACUGUAUAUGUUUUGUUUCAGAAUAACGCCAGUUCAAGCAUUAUUUAUACAAGAAACUUAACCCAUAAAGACUAUAUAGAUGCUAAAAAACUACGAAUUCAACAUUACUUUCCAGAAUAAUACUAGUUCAAGCAUUGUUUAUGCAUAUUAUAUGUGACCUAGAAAGGAGUUUUCGCUUUUUUCAAACAUGGGAUGCAAGAAAUCAAAGAAGUUUCAGUGUGCUACAAAAUAUACCUCGUAAAUACAUCAGAAAGCAUAUGGAAGCAACUUGGGCUCGUUUAGUUGGGUAUCUUAAUAGGUUAGAAAGAAGUUCAUGUAAAAUUCUUCAAAACUUAUCCUAUGUUGUUGUCCAAGUAUAUUAGGCCGAAUAUUUAGCCAUCCAACAUCCACUUACAUUCAAGUUUUAUACAAAGCACACGAAGCCAUACAUGGAUUCCCUGUAAUAGUUGGUACCAUUGACUGCACAUAUUGGAAUUUGACAAAUUUCCCAACGGAAUUGAGAGGCCAAUACAUGAGGGGUUAUCAUGAGUAUCUAACAAUCAUACUAGAAGUAAUGGCCUCAUGAGAUUUAGCAUUUUGACAUGCAUUCUAUGGUGCAGCCGGUUCGGACAAUGAUCUGAACUCCUUUAUCAAUCACCACUUUUUGAUGAGAAAUAUCACUUAAUAGCACCCAUGUGUUCAUUUAAUCUGAACGGCAAACACUACCAGCAUUGUUACUAUUUUUGGAUGGAAUAUAUCCAACAUGGGUUGUAUUAAUGAAAUCAUAUCUAUAUCUGAUAACCGACAGAAGGAAACGAUUCAAUAGGGCACAAGAAUAAAAAAAAUGACAUAGAAUGUUCUUUUAGGAUCGUUAAAGCAAGUUGGGACACAUUAAAACAACCAACAUGAGUUAUGCUAGCGAAAAAAACAAGACAUAUAAUGUACAUUUGUCUUUUACUACAGAAUAGUUAUUAUGCAUCAACCUANCCCCCCCCCCCCCCCCCCCCUCUUGAUGUAGCUAUUGAUCGAAAAUUACUACAUGAAUUGCGAAAUGCUGAAACCCACCAACAGCUUCGAUCCGAUAGUUGUGAUUACACUGAGCAUGCAUAUAAUUCAUCUCUGGAUAACUAGUUAAUUUUAAUUAUCGUUUUACGAUUUUAAUUAUGUUAUCUUUUUAAUUAUGUUUCUUUUAGUUAUGGUAUAUUUUUUAUUUGUAUUAGUUUUUUUUAAUUAAAAAAUGUUAUGUUUAAUUUUAAUUUUAAUUUUUUUAAUUUAAGUAAUGAUAAUAGUGAUAUUACAAAUGAGUUGAAUUAAUUUUGAAAAAUAGAUUUUAUAUAUUGUAGGUUAAGAAAAUAAUAUAGAGAGUAGAAGGAAAACCCCGCGGCAAAUUAGUUGAGUAGAUCGGAGAAAUGAAUAUUCCCCACCAUAAUAAUUUCCAUUUGUCAAAAAAAACUUAACAUCAAGCAAAAAAAAAAAAAAUUCAAUCAUGAAAUUAAAAGAUAUAAAAGAGACAUUGAUACAGAUACCAUUAUAGGGAAUUAUACGGUUCAUUUAUUAUCAUUAUCAAAAUAAAAACUAAUCAAUCAUAAUAAUGAGAUGCUAUUUAUUCUAAUAUUUACACAUCAAAUAAAAAUUAAAUAUUAUAUUAAUAUGCUAAAAAAAAUAUAAUAUAAAAAAAAUGUAAUGAAAGUAUGAGUGGGGCCAGUUAAAUGAAAUGAAUGGAAGAAAGGCGAGUAGAAGUGCAGACUUUUCUCUCUUCUCAUGGCUUAAGCUUCCUGUUAGCAGCCACGUCCACGUUUCCUUCCUAUAAAACCUUUACAAUCAAUCCCCUUUCUCCCACAACUCUCAGAUUACAUCUUCUUCCCCUCACUCAAUCAUAAGUUAACAACAAUGGAGGCAAUGAAGAUGAUGAAGCUUUUCUCACUAAUGAUGAUGAUGAUGACAAUGGCUGUUUCAGUUGUCUCCGCCGCUGACGAAGUUCCUGCUCCAGCUCCAAUGUUGUCCGACGCCACCACAGUUUUCAUCCCCACCGCCGUGGCCUCUCUUUCUGCACUAGCUUUUGCUUUCCUCUUCUAAUUUCUGGUUCAGUAUAUGCUUCUAUCGAUAUUCGAUACUAUUAAUAUUUAAUUUCUCUUUAUGAUAUUACGUAAUAAUUUUGGGGGUUGUUAUCUGAUUCAAACCCCUUUGUGUUCUAUGUUUUGAAUCUGAAAUUUAAUAAGAUUCAUAUGUUGUAUUAAAUGAUAUUCCUGUAAUAUAUCUACCAUAAAUGAUUUUAUCAAAUAAGACCUAUGCUUAUUUAAAAUUGUAUUGCUUCUAAAAAAAGUCUCAUACCAACGUUUUAAUAUUUCUUGCAAUAUCACGCCAUUCACCAAAUAUAAGAUUUUUUAUGCGUUUUCUUUCGCUAUUAUACAAUAAGUCAAUAAGGGAACAUAAUUAGUCUCUCAUGCUAAUAAGUUUUAAAAAUUAGUAAAAAACGUAAGUGAAUAAAAUUGCAACAAUUAAUACAUAUGAACAUAAUAUAUAUAAAUUAUAAUAAAAAAUACAAUUUUUUGGAACGACGGAAACACGUAAGCAAAUAACUUCAGCAGCGAACUAUCUCACCUCCUGUUAGGCCGCCCGAUAUACUCUCAACGGAGAGCCUUCGUUGCCACCUGGAACCACCACCACAGUGUGGACCCCGUCUGCUCCAUGGUACAACGAUCGUGGUCAAUCGUUGUCUCUACCACAAACCACCACGACCAAUCAGGUCUUUCUUCUUCUAUCUUCCUCUCUUCUUUUCUCUUAUGCGGUCUUUCUUCUUCUAUCUUCCUCUCUCUUCUUUUCUCUCAUGCAAGUAUCUUUUUUCACCGUGCAGAGUAUAUCAGGUUCAAUGUGGAAGGAAGGUGGAUGGAGAUGGUGGUGACGUGGAGGAGGAUGUAUAUCGUGGUCAUUGCCGAUUUAACGGAUGAUCUUAUAAUAAAAGAAUAGCUUUAUUCCUAUUUUGUUAUAUGUCACUCUAUUAGGCCUCCUAAUUAAUGUCC
Molecule: long non-coding RNA, 10285 nt
Filed under: Lactuca sativa (garden lettuce)
Lineage: Eukaryota; Viridiplantae; Streptophyta; Magnoliopsida; Asterales; Asteraceae
Description: long non-coding RNA (LSAT_LNC001569)
Source: RNAcentral